Molecule: non-coding RNA, 243 nt
Organism: Pelobates cultripes (western spadefoot toad)
Lineage: Eukaryota; Metazoa; Chordata; Amphibia; Anura; Pelobatidae
Source: the annotation of a GenBank genome assembly
CCGAGGGAUCUGGUCUCCAACUGUACUAGUGAGGGAGUUGAGCGUUCAACCAGGAGGCAAAGAGGUCUACUCCCAGAGGUCCCCAGGUAUCUGUGAUGUUCUUGAAUGUCAAAGGGUCCAGACGCUGAAGUCCCUGAGAUGUCUGGAGUACCAGUCCACAGUGGUGUUUGAAAGUCCAGGAAUAUAUUCCGCUGUCACCGAGAUAUUGUGCAUAAGGCAGAACUGCCAGAAGUCACGUGCCUG